UGGGGAAUUUUUCGCAAUGGGGGAAACCCUGACGAAGCAACGCCGCGUGGAGGAUGACGGCCUUCGGGUUGUAAACCUCUUUCAAUAGGGACGAAGCGCAAGUGACGGUACCUAUAGAAGAAGCACCGGCCAACUACGUGCCAGCAGCCGCGGUAAUACGUAGGGUGCGAGCGUUGUCCGGAAUUACUGGGCGUAAAGAGCUCGUAGGUGGUUUGUCGCGUUGUUCGUGAAAACCGGGGGCUUAACCCUCGGCGUGCGGGCGAUACGGGCAGACUGGAGUACUGCAGGGGAGACUGGAAUUCCUGGUGUAGCGGUGGAAUGCGCAGAUAUCAGGAGGAACACCGGUGGCGAAGGCGGGUCUCUGGGCAGUAACUGACGCUGAGGAGCGAAAGCGUGGGGAGCGAACAGGAUUAGAUACCCUGGUAGUCCACGCUGUAAACGGUGGGUACUAGGUGUGGGUUUCCUUCCUUGGGAUCCGUGCCGUAGCUAACGCAUUAAGUACCCCGCCUGGGGAGUACGGCCGCAAGGCUA
Molecule: ribosomal RNA, 531 nt
Filed under: uncultured bacterium
Lineage: Bacteria
Description: bacterial SSU rRNA
Rfam family: Bacterial small subunit ribosomal RNA
Source: RNAcentral